RNAcentral lists this long non-coding RNA (224 nucleotides) under Sorghum bicolor (sorghum). RNAcentral describes it as "long non-coding RNA (SBIC_LNC015355)". Lineage: Eukaryota; Viridiplantae; Streptophyta; Magnoliopsida; Poales; Poaceae. The record is from RNAcentral.
CAUGACUCCUACAGAGCUCGGUAAACCCCCCACAGGAGCAACCAUGCUGACAGCCAUUCCUCAAAGACGAGACGGACAAGCUUCAACAAGGUCGGGACUAUAGCUUCACCAUUCAACAAGAGGAGAUCUACUCAUGUAAAUACCUGUCUCCCCUUGAGGCUAUAAAAGGGGAGCCAGGGUUCACAAUCAGGACAGGUUCACCAAGUUCAUGCACAUACGACCAC